RNAcentral lists this ribosomal RNA (253 nucleotides) under uncultured bacterium. Its description in RNAcentral is "partial 16S ribosomal RNA". It matches the Rfam family "Bacterial small subunit ribosomal RNA", at positions 524 to 776 of the family's 1533-position model. The record is from RNAcentral.
UACGGAGGGUGCAAGCGUUAUCCGGAUUCACUGGGUUUAAAGGGAGCGUAGGUGGGAUGGUAAGUCAGUGGUGAAAUCUUCGAGCUUAACUCGGAAACUGCCGUUGAUACUAUCAUUCUUGAAUAUUGUGGAGGUAAGCGGAAUAUGUCAUGUAGCGGUGAAAUGCUUAGAUAUGACAUAGAACACCGAUAGCGAAGGCAGCUUGCUACACAAUUAUUGACACUGAGGCUCGAAAGCGUGGGGAUCAAACAGG